This is a microRNA precursor of Lupinus angustifolius (narrow-leaved blue lupine), 189 nucleotides long. It matches the Rfam family "MIR159 microRNA precursor family". The record is from Rfam. NCBI's taxonomy places the organism in Eukaryota, Viridiplantae, Streptophyta, Magnoliopsida, Fabales, Fabaceae.
GUUUUAAGGUUGGAGUUCCCUUCGCUCCAAUCCUAAAGUAGAUGAUAGUAAACCUCUGCUGCUAAUUCAUGGAUACCUAUGGCUUUGUAACAACACGUGUUACAAAGGUCAAGGGUUUGCAUGAAUUGGGAGAUGAGGUUACACUUGUCUUUUGGUAUUGGAGUGAAGGGAACUCCAACUACUACUCUC